UAAUUGUGCCUUCCACCUUAAAAAGAUUCCUUUUUUACAACCCAAUUACUGUUGGAUUGCAAAGAAAACUUUCGAAAAAAGAAGAAAAUCAAUCAAUUCGAUUACAGAAAGAAUCGAUUUUUUGAAGAGAUCUGAGGGCUGUAAACAAGAAAAUCUAAGUGGGUUUGCGUCAGAUCCACUGUUUGAGCUCUCUCAGGGGGUCGUUUUUUUCAAA
This 214-nucleotide unclassified non-coding RNA is filed under the name Hevea brasiliensis (rubber tree). Lineage: Eukaryota; Viridiplantae; Streptophyta; Magnoliopsida; Malpighiales; Euphorbiaceae. The record is from RNAcentral.